Molecule: ribosomal RNA, 446 nt
Filed under: uncultured bacterium
Lineage: Bacteria
Description: bacterial SSU rRNA
Rfam family: Bacterial small subunit ribosomal RNA
Source: RNAcentral
UCCAGACUCCUACGGGAGGCAGCAGCGGGGAAUAUUGCACAAUGGGGGAAACCCUGAUGCAGCGACGCCGCGUGAGUGAAGAAGUAAUUCGUUAUGUAAAGCUCUCUCAGCAGGGAAGAAAAUGACGGUACCUGAGUAAGAAGCCCCGGCUAACUACGUGCCAGCAGCCGCGGUAAUACGUAGGGGGCAAGCGUUAUCCGGAUUUACUGGGUGUAAAGGGAGCGUAGACGGCAGUGCAAGCCUGGAGUGAAAGGCGGGGGCUCAACCCCCGGACUGCUCUGGAAACUGUACGGCUGGAGUGCUGGAGAGGCAGACGGAAUUCCUAGUGUAGCGGUGAAAUGCGUAGAUAUUAGGAGGAACACCAGUGGCGAAGGCGGUCUGCUGGACAGUAACUGACGGUGAGGCGCGAAAGCGUGGGGAGCAAACAGGAUUAGAUACCCCCGUAG